AUUGAACGCUGGCGGAAUGCUUUACACAUGCAAGUCGAACGGCAGCACGGACUUCGGUCUGGUGGCGAGUGGCGAACGGGUGAGUAAUGUAUCGGAACGUGCCCAGUCGUGGGGGAUAACGUAGUGAAAAUUACGCUAAUACCGCAUACGAUCUAUGGAUGAAAGCGGGGGAUCGCAAGACCUCGCGCGAUUGGAGCGGCCGAUAUCAGAUUAGGUAGUUGGGGGGGUAAAGGCCCACCAAGCCAACGAACUGUAGCUGGUCUGAGAGGACGACCAGCCACACUGGAACUGAGACACGGUCCAGACUCCUACGGGAGGCCGCAGUUGGGAAUUUUGGACAAUGGGCGAAAGCCUGAUCCAGCCAUUCCGCGUGCAGGAUGAAGGCCCUCGGGUUGUAAACUGCUUUUGUACAGAACGAAAAGGUUUCUACUAAUACUAGGAGCUCACGACGGUACUGUAAGAAUAAGCACCGGCUAACUACGUGCCAGCCGCCGCCGUAA
Molecule: ribosomal RNA, 500 nt
Filed under: uncultured bacterium
Lineage: Bacteria
Description: partial 16S ribosomal RNA
Rfam family: Bacterial small subunit ribosomal RNA
Source: RNAcentral